RNAcentral lists this ribosomal RNA (378 nucleotides) under uncultured bacterium. Its description in RNAcentral is "bacterial SSU rRNA". It matches the Rfam family "Bacterial small subunit ribosomal RNA", at positions 790 to 1167 of the family's 1533-position model. The record is from RNAcentral.
GUAGUCCACGCCCUAAACGAUGAAUACUAGAUGUCGGAGUUCCUAAUUGCUUCGGUGUCGCAGCUAACGCAUUAAGUAUUCCGCCUGGGAAUUACGGUCGCAAGAUUAAAACUCAAAGGAAUUGACGGGGGCCCGCACAAGCGGUGGAGCAUGUGGUUCAAUUCGAUGCUACGCGAAAAACCUUACCUAGGUUUGACAUCCCGCGCUACCCCAUGAAAGUGGGCGUUCUCUUCGGAGACGCGGAGACAGGUGCUGCAUGGCUGUCGUCAGCUCGUGUUGUGAGAUGUUGGGUUAAGUCCCGCAACGAGCGCAACCCUCGCGGUUAGUUGCCAGCAUUAAGUUGGGCACUCUAAUCGGACCGCUGGCCUAUAAGGCAGA